This is a long non-coding RNA of Arabidopsis thaliana (thale cress), 2206 nucleotides long. RefSeq annotates it as other RNA. The record is from RefSeq. The transcript has 2 exons. Lineage: Eukaryota; Viridiplantae; Streptophyta; Magnoliopsida; Brassicales; Brassicaceae.
UCUAAUCAGCGUCUACUAUCUCUCUAUAUAUACACAACACUUUAAAAAAUACGAAAAACCAAUAUAGAAUCAUAGAUAUUGAGCAAAAUGGUAAAGCAGGUUUUUUCACAGUUGGGUUUUGUGUUCUUUAUGGUGCUUCUGCUUCUUCUUCGUUGCAACAGUCUUGUUCUUGCUUCUAAACAAGAAUCACUCCCAAGAGCUGGGAGAAGAAUGAGGAGUUAUCAAACAAAUGGUGAGAUCGAUGCAGGCCCAUCUUUCAGUGGCAGAGGUGGUGGUCGCAUUCCAUAAGCUCUCUCUUUCCUCUUCUUCAUUAUCUCUUCACAUUUCAACUUUCCUCUUUAAGUUCUUUAUGUUAUAUUCUGCAAUCUCCUUGAAUUGUUGAUGUAAUCUGCCCACAGUGGUUUCAAAUUAAGUGAUUGGUCGUUGAGUACCAAAUCCACAUCAGAAUCAUAUGGAGCGAGACAAAGAUGAAUAACAAGGAUCAGAAAAUCAAGAAAUAUAUGACAUUUUGAUUUCAAGUUCUUAUGGAAAAUGGCACAAAAAUAAAUAAAAAAAGGUAAAAACUCAAAGAGUUUGAGAAUCAAGAGUGAAACAAAAAGAAAGCAAGUAGAGAUGCUCACUAUAUGAAACUCUCUAAAACCUUAUAAUCAUUCGAGGAUCGUCCCAAUAACUCCAGCACCAACAGUCUUUCCUCCUUCUCUGAUAGCAAACCUCAUCCCUUGUUCACAAGCCACCGGCACAAUAAGCUCAACAACAAUCUUCACUCGAUCACCGGGCAUAACCAUCUUCGACUCUUCAUCUUUGUCGUUCAUGAUCUUCGUCACUUUACCCGUAACAUCAGUCGUCCUCAUGUAGAACUGAGGCCUGUACCCUGCAAAGAAUGGAGAAUGCCUUCCACCUUCCUCUUUCUUCAACACAUAGAUAAUUGCUUCAAACUUGGUAUGUGGAGUAAUCGAUCCCGGCUUAGCUAAAACCAUACCUCUCUGAAUAUCAGCCUUUUGAAUACCCCUAAGCAACAACCCUACAUUGUCACCAGCUAAAGCCUCAUCAAGAAUCUUCUGAAACAUUUCAACCCCAGUGACAGUGUAACUCCUAGUCUCCCUCAAACCCACUAAAUCUACAGUCUCUCCUACCUUAACCGUACCUCUCUCGACACGCCCUGUAGCCACCGUACCACGUCCAGUGAUAGAGAACACAUCCUCAACAGCUAACAAGAAUGGCAAUUCAGUUUGUCUCUGAGGGAUAGGGAUGUAAUCAUCAACAGCAUCCAUAAGUUCAUAAAUCUUAUCUACCCAUUUGUUAUCACCUCUCUUAACCUUAGGAUUCUCAGUAAGAGUCUCAACGGCUAAAAGAGCAGAACCAGAGAUAAUCGGAAUAUCAUCACCGUUAAAUUCAUAAGACGAGAGAAGCUCACGAACCUCAAGCUCAACGAGCUCUAGCAACUCUGCAUCAUCUACUUGAUCCUCUUUGUUAAGAAACACAACCAUAUCAGGAACACCAACCUGCUUAGCCAAAAGGAUAUGCUCUUUAGUCUGAGGCAUAGGACCAUCGGCGCCGGAAACAACGAGGAUAGCUCCGUCCAUCUGUGCAGCUCCGGUAAUCAUAUUCUUAACGUAAUCAGCGUGACCAGGACAAUCAACGUGAGCGUAGUGACGAUUCUCAGUCUCGUACUCAACAGUAGCAGUGUUGAUUGUGAUACCACGAGCUCUCUCCUCCGGCGCAGCGUCAAUCUCGUCGUACUUUUUAGCGACGCUGGAACCAAUGGAAGCGAGAGCCAUGGUUAGAGCUGCGGUUAAAGUAGUUUUCCCAUGGUCAACAUGACCGAUGGUUCCGAUGUUGACAUGAGGCUUCUUCCUCUCGAACUUUCCACGAGCGGCGCGGACGGUGAAGGAGCGACGAGUGGAUUGAGAAGCGGAGGUGGUGGUUAAUGAGUAAGAAGGGAGGAAGGAGGAAGAGAGAGUUAGGGUUUUGAGUUUACCAGAGGUGGAAAUGGCGGGACAGAGAGAAGGAGAAGGAGAGGAGUAGGAACAGAGAAUUCUAGAGGAGGAAGAACAAGCGGCUGGAGCCGAAAUCGCCAUGGGAAGAUGGAAUUGGAGAGCAGAGGAGAGAAAUCGAGAAGCUAGGGUUUGAAAUUUUUUUGGAGAAGGAGAAGAUUUGGGGAUAGAGUGAGAUUGUAUAGUGAUGUUAUCUCUUUAGAAGAAAAAUA